This 240-nucleotide unclassified non-coding RNA is filed under the name soil metagenome. Its description in RNAcentral is "partial contains 5.8S ribosomal RNA, internal transcribed spacer 2, and large subunit ribosomal RNA". The record is from RNAcentral.
AACGCACGAGACCUGCGGACCUGCGGAGGGAUCAUUACCGAGUUAUCAACUCCCAAACCCCUGUGAACAUACCCGAACGUUGCCUCGGCGGGACCGCCCCGGCGCCCCUAGCGGCCCGGAACCAGGCGCCCGCCGGAGGACCCAAACUCUUGCUUUAAACAGUGGCAUACUCUCUGAGUCUCACAAACAAAAAAUAAAUCAAAACUUUCAACAACGGAUCUCUAGAUCGGAAGAGCACAC